RNAcentral lists this unclassified non-coding RNA (246 nucleotides) under uncultured fungus. RNAcentral describes it as "sequence contains ITS1, 5.8S rRNA gene". The stretch from base 198 to 246 matches the Rfam family "5.8S ribosomal RNA", at positions 1 to 49 of the family's 154-position model. The record is from RNAcentral. Lineage: Eukaryota; Fungi.
UCUCCGUUGGUUAACCAGCGGAGGGAUCAUUAUAGAGUUUUUAAAACUCCCAACCCAUGUUAACUUACCUAUGUUGCCUCGGCGGCAGCCUACCCUGUACCUACCCUGUAAAGGGUUACCCGGGAGCGGCCCCGCCGGUGGACCUUUUAACUCUUGUUAUUUUAUGUAAUCUGAGAGUCUUAUUUUAAAUAAGUCAAAACUUUCAACAACGGAUCUCUUGGUUCUGGCAUCGAUGAAGAACGCAGC